CUUUUUGAUUAUAAUUUAAGGUCCAACCUGCCCAAUGAUUUUAUUAAAUGGCCGCGGUAUUUUGACCGUGCAAAGGUAGCAUAAUCAUUAGUUUUUUAAUUGAAAGCUGGAAUGAAAGGUUAGAUGAGAAAAUAACUGUCUCUAUUUAAGUUUAUUAGAAUUUUAUUUUUAAGUAAAAAAGCUUAAAUAAAUAUAAAAGACGAGAAGACCCUAUAGAGUUUUAUAAUUUUAUUAUUUAGAGUUUUUAGGAUUAUAAUAUUUAAGBAUUAAAAUUAUUUAAUUGGGGUGAUUGAAAAAUUAGAUAAACUUUUUUUUAUAAAAACAUUUAUUUAUGAUUAUAUGAUCCUUAAUUYAAGAUUAUAAGAAUAAAUUACCUUAGGGAUAACAGCGUAAUUUUUUUUGAGAGUUCAAAUCGAAAAAAAAGAUUGCGACCUCGAUGUUGGAUUAAAAUUAAUUUUUGGUGUAGGAGCUAAA
Molecule: ribosomal RNA, 474 nt
Filed under: Lixus cardui
Lineage: Eukaryota; Metazoa; Arthropoda; Insecta; Coleoptera; Curculionidae
Description: partial 16S ribosomal RNA
Source: RNAcentral